RNAcentral lists this ribosomal RNA (490 nucleotides) under uncultured bacterium. Its description in RNAcentral is "partial 16S ribosomal RNA". It matches the Rfam family "Bacterial small subunit ribosomal RNA", at positions 30 to 507 of the family's 1533-position model. The record is from RNAcentral.
AUUGAACGCUGGCGGCAGGCCUAGCACAUGCAAGUCGAACGGUAACAGGAAACAGCUUGCUGUUUCGCUGACGAGUGGCGGACGGGUGAGUAAUGUCUGGGAAACUGCCUGAUGGAGGGGGAUAACUACUGGAAACGGUAGCUAAUACCGCAUAACGUCGCAAGACCAAAGAGGGGGACCUUCGGGCCUCUUGCCAUCGGAUGUACCCAGAUGGGAUUAGCUAGUAGGUGGGGUAACGGCUCACCUAGGCGACGAUCCCUAGCUGGUCUGAGAGGAUGACCAGCCACACUGGAACUGAGACACGGUCCAGACUCCUACGGGAGGCAGCAGUGGGGAAUAUUGCACAAUGGGCGCAAGCCUGAUGCAGCCAUGCCGCGUGUAUGAAGAAGGCCUUCGGGUUGUAAAGUACUUUCAGCGGGGAGGAAGGGAGUAAAGUUAAUACCUUUACUCAUUGACGUUACCCGCAGAAGAAGCACCGGCUAACUCCGUG